RNAcentral lists this unclassified non-coding RNA (353 nucleotides) under soil metagenome. Its description in RNAcentral is "partial contains 5.8S ribosomal RNA, internal transcribed spacer 2, and large subunit ribosomal RNA". The stretch from base 1 to 120 matches the Rfam family "5.8S ribosomal RNA", at positions 35 to 154 of the family's 154-position model. The record is from RNAcentral.
GAUGAAGAACGCAGCGAAAUGCGAUAAGUAAUGUGAAUUGCAGAAUUCAGUGAAUCAUAGAAUCUUUGAACGCACAUUGCGCCCGCCAGUAUUCUGGCGGGCAUGCCUGUUCGAGCGUCAUUACAACCCUCAGGCCCCCGGGCCUGGCGUUGGGGAUCGGCGGAAGCCCCCUGCGGGCACAACGCCGUCCCCCAAAUACAGUGGCGGUCCCGCCGCAGCUUCCAUUGCGUAGUAGCUAACACCUCGCAACUGGAGAGCGGCGCGGCCACGCCGUAAAACACCCAACUUCUGAAUGUUGACCUCGAAUCAGGUAGGAAUACCCGCUGAACUUAAGCAUAUCAAUAAGCGGAGGA